GGUCCAUGUGAAAAAAUUCAUGAUGAAAAUCUACGAAAACAGUAUAAAAAGAGUUUUCGUUUUAUGAAAGUUGGCUAUGAGAGAGAUUUUUUGCGCUACUUACAGAGCUUACUGGCAGAAGUAGAACGUAGAAUCAGACGAGGCCAUGCUCGUUUGGCAUUACCUCAAAACCAGCAGUCAUCUGGGGCUGCUGGCCCAACAGGCAAAAAUGAAGAAAAAAUUCAGGUUCUAACAAACAAAAUUGAUGUGCUUCUACAGCAGAUUGAAGAAUUAGGAUCUGAAGGAAAGGUUGAAGAAGCCCAGGGAAUGAUGAAAUUAGUUGAACAGUUAAAAGAAGAGAGAGAAUUGCUUCGAUCCACAACCUCAACAAUUGAAAGUUUUGCUGCCCAAGAAAAACAAAUGGAAGUUUGUGAAGUGUGUGGAGCCUUUUUGAUAGUAGGAGAUGCCCAGUCCCUUGUAGAUGAUCAUUUGAUGGAAAAACAGCACAUGGGCUAUGCCAAAAUUAAAGCCACUGUAGAAGAAUUAAAAGAAAAGUUAAGAAAAAGGACAGAAGGAACCUGAUCAGGAUGAGCGUCAAAAAAAAGAGAAGCAAGAAAGAGAGGAAAGAGAAAAAACGGGAGAGAGAAAGGGAAGAAAGGGAAAGGAAAAGACGAAGAGAAGAAGAAGAAAGAGAGAAAAAAGAGCUCGUGACAGAGAACGAAGAAAGAGAAGUCGUUCACGAAGUAGACACUCAAGUAGAACUUCUGAUUGAAGAUGUAGCAGGUCUCGGGACCACAAAAGGUCACGAAGUAGGGAAAGAAGGAGAAGCAGAAGUAGAGAUCGACGAAGAAAUAGAAGCCAUGACAGAUCAGAA
This is a non-coding RNA of Castor canadensis (American beaver), 853 nucleotides long. The record is from RefSeq and is a predicted model, not a curated record. NCBI's taxonomy places the organism in Eukaryota, Metazoa, Chordata, Mammalia, Rodentia, Castoridae.